RNAcentral lists this unclassified non-coding RNA (569 nucleotides) under Hevea brasiliensis (rubber tree). The record is from RNAcentral. Lineage: Eukaryota; Viridiplantae; Streptophyta; Magnoliopsida; Malpighiales; Euphorbiaceae.
AGAGGCUCGAGAAAGGGCAGCUGCAGAUGCUAGAGAAAGGGCAGCUGCUGCUGCAAGGAUGAACCAACAAAAGAAUGAUGAUGAUCUUGAAUCCUUUUUCAAUAUGGGUUCUAGAGCCAAUAGUACACCAAAGACAAGAACAAGUUCUGUUAAUGAGACUUCAUUUGCUUCACAGUUCCAGAACAAGGCAGGUGCUGGAGGGCCUAAACCAACAUUUUCAUCUACCACAACCUCCUCCAACAGGACAAAGGCAUCUUCAACAACAAGCUUUGCUGAUGAUCUCUCUUCAAUAUUUGGAGCUGCCACUUCAUCUGGAGAUUUCCAAGAGGUUGAAGGGGAAACCGAAGAAAGAAGAAGAGCUAGACUGGAACGUCAUCAACGAACUCAGGAGCGUGCGGCCAAAGCUUUGGCUGAAAAGAAUCAACGUGACCUUCAAGUUCAGAUGGAGCAGCAGGAAAGACACAGAAUAUCUGAGAGCCUAGAUAUUGAAAUCAAGCGAUGGGCUGCUGGGAAAGAAGGAAAUCUGCGUGCAUUGCUAUCAACUAUGCAAUAUGUGCUUUGGCCUGAAU